This 499-nucleotide ribosomal RNA is filed under the name uncultured Desulfovibrio sp. RNAcentral describes it as "bacterial SSU rRNA". It matches the Rfam family "Bacterial small subunit ribosomal RNA", at positions 903 to 1382 of the family's 1533-position model. Lineage: Bacteria; Pseudomonadati; Thermodesulfobacteriota; Desulfovibrionia; Desulfovibrionales; Desulfovibrionaceae. The record is from RNAcentral.
GCCCGCUCAGAACUACAAAGGAAUUGACGGGGGCCCGCACAAGCGGUGGAGCAUGUGGUUUAAUUCGAUGCAACGCGAAGAACCUUACCUAGGUUUGACAUCCGGAAGACCUUCCCGAAAAGGAAGGGUGCCCUUCGGGGAAUUCCGAGACAGGUGCUGCAUGGCUGUCGUCAGCUCGUGCCGUGAGGUGUUGGGUUAAGUCCCGCAACGAGCGCCAACCCCUAUUGCCAGUUGCUACCAGGUAAUGCUGGGCACUCUGGUGAGACUGCCCCGGUUAACGGGGAGGAAGGUGGGGACGACGUCAAGUCAUCAUGGCCCUUACGCCUAGGGCUACACACGUACUACAAUGGCGCAUACAAAGGGCAGCGAUACCGCGAGGUGGAGCCAAUCCCAAAAAGUGCGUCCCAGUCCGGAUUGCAGUCUGCAACUCGACUGCAUGAAGUUGGAAUCGCUAGUAAUUCGAGAUCAGCAUGCUCGGGUGAAUGCGUUCCCGGGCCUU